RNAcentral lists this long non-coding RNA (43849 nucleotides) under Eucalyptus grandis. Its description in RNAcentral is "long non-coding RNA (EGRA_LNC000492)". Lineage: Eukaryota; Viridiplantae; Streptophyta; Magnoliopsida; Myrtales; Myrtaceae. The record is from RNAcentral.
CGUCGUGAAAUCAAAAGCCGUUCCUUUGACAGGCAUAAUUUCACCUGUUGGGAUUGUGUUCUGAUCCACGGGAGUGAUGUGAUUAGCCCACAUCUGGAUGGAGCGGUUUAGUAUGUUUCCCGAAUGUGACCGGCUAAGUUCCAGUAGGUAUGCUGAGCCAAGCUGAUAGGAGUGGCCUUAUUUUCAGGCACAGCUUCCAUGUCGAGCCUCAUUGUUGUACUAGAAGUUAGUGUGUAAGUAGCCAUCACAGCAACAUCUCCUGGGUAACCUAUAAUCAUAUGAACAUGCAACCCAAGGCAUCAAAGCCGUGUUGGUGCAAACGACUGGGUGAGUCGAUGAGCAUGUGCGCCAGUGUGUGCACAUGCAUGAGAGAGAGAGAGAGAGAGAGAGAGAGAGACCUUCUUCCCCAUCAUGACUGUGACAUUUGAAGGUGAUGGAAGGAUUCUCGCCUUUCUUAUAAUCAGCUACCUCCCAUAUCACCUUAUCAAAAUCCUUGUGCCCACCUAAGUAACAAAAAAUUCAGAAGGCCAUUAUCAGAUUGACGUUUUGAAGAAUUAGGUUGCUCCACAUAUACAUACUUUUUGUUCUAAGAAAGGUGAACCUCUUAUCACCAACACUAACUGGAAAAGGCAAAAUUCUUCGUGGAUCUUGUGAUUAUUGAGCAGUACUUAUUUUCCUCAAAAUGUUUCUUCUGUUUAAUGUGCUUGUGUGUGCUCUGUUUCUGAUGGUAGGAAAAAAGUAAAAACUUGGUCCUUUUCUUUUGUCAGAAGCAGUUCACAUGAGUUACAAUACAGCUACAGCUGAGGUGAUUAAGCCACUGUAAGAACACUUUCCCCAGUGUAAUUUUCAAUUCAGGGGAAAAGGACUCUAAAUUCCCUCAAUACUUGAUCAGCCAAGCAUAAAAUUUAAACUGAAGUGCUACAAAUCCUCAAGCUCCCACAGAGGCAGGAUGUGCAGCAACGUCAUAGUGUGAUUAAUUCAUGAUUCGACAACUCUCUCACACAAUUCGAUUCCCGGCACCACCUAUCCAGAUCAAACAGAGAGACGAGCAGAUGCCAAAGGCACAACAUAUAUAAUGCAUUUACGCAAGCAGAUCGAUAGUCAAACACAUACAGAAGGCUGACACGAUCACAAAGACGAUCAAUUCGCUCGAGGCGUCAUUAAGUAUGAUCUCGUCAGCUCGAGCAACAUCCACACCGCAACCACUGAUCAUUAACAAUUCAUACCGUGAACUGAAGACUGUUCGGAGGCUUGUUGAUGGGCAAAGAGUAUUCAACGCCAUCGAGAGUGAACUUCCCCUCCUCUAUCCUGUUCCCGACCCGCCCCCACAAUGCAGCCGAAGAACGGCGCAGCAACUUUCUGCGCAGCACAGAAAACACAAAUCGACCCACAAAAGACAUUCAUCAACCAAAUCUUCCAAAGUUCAAUCCCACAUCAAAACCGACGAAAACAGCCCAAUUGACCAUAAAGUUUCGAAAUUUUCAGCAGAUCAAGAGCCGCGGAAGCGAAGAAAACGGAAAUGCGCGAUCACCGACACAUCUCCACAAGCGCGGGAGGCCAAAAAGUAACGAACUUUCUCACCAGAUACGGCUCGAGGGAGUCGAAACCCAGGACCACAUCCGCCACUUUCCCUGAAAGCAACGAAAAAAAAAGGACAGGCAGACACGAUCGAGUCAUCAGCAACGAUCCGACCAGAACAGAGACCANNNNNNNNNNNNNNNNNNNNNNNNNNNNNNNNNNNNNNNNNNNNNNNNNNNNNNNNNNNNNNNNNNNNNNNNNNNNNNNNNNNNNNNNNNNNNNNNNNNNGAACGGAGAGCGAGGCGAUGGUGCAGCCGAGGUUGGCGAUCUUCGCCCGCAUGGUCCCAUUGUCGAGCUCGAACAGCUCUGCUUGCCCGGCGUGAUCCGCUAUAAAGAUUCUUCCUUUUUCUUCUUCUUCUUCUUCUUCUUCUUCUGGGAAGAGCACGAUCUUAGCCAGUUUCUCCACCGAGUUUAUCCGAAAUUUUUAGAGAAACAGAUAGCGUUUGAAUUUAAGUCUAAUAUAAAAUUUUGGAAUCGGAUUCUAUCAAUAUCGAACAUUUUUACAUAGUAAAAGUUUAGGAAUUAUAUUACACAUUGAAAUAAAGUUUAUAAAUCACAUUAAAUAAAUUAAAAAUUUAUUAAUCAAAUUACACAUUUAAUCAAAAUUUAUGAAUUAUUUGUAUCAUUUUUCUAUUUUUUUUUUUGCUAUUGCCACGUGGAGAGUUAAGGAAAUAAGAUAUACAAAGAUUACAUCAAUAUACGAUAAAGAAUCACCAAUCACUUAUUAAUGUUAUUAAUAAAUGGAAAUUUACUGUCCACAUUGAUUUUAAUACUUUUCUAUAUGAAAUUUUACCAAGUAUAAUGAAUAUCACUAGUCCAUAAAAUUUAUUAGUUUCUUAUAGGAAAUGUUGCUAAGCAUAUCCAAAAUUAUUUUGAUGCAUAUGAAAAUCACUAACCACAUAUAUACGUUAUCGGUAAAUGAAAAGGUAUUGACUAAAUUUACAUAUUUUAUUUUUUUAUGUGAAAUCUUACUAAGCAUAUUGAGAACUUCUUUACAUUAUCAAUCAAUUAUAGGUAUUCCUAGUAAGAAAAACCUACCGAUAUAACUAGUUAUUUCCUAUAUUAAAAUUUUUUUUGCGCAUUGAAAGUUUACUUCGAUAUGUAGGAAAAUUACUUCCAUGAUCAUGAAAGUAAGGAAGUAAUUUUGUUCCUAUAAGCAAUUUGUAUUUUUCUAGACUGUUCUUUAGUAAAUUCUUAACUUGAAAAUGAUUUAAAUCUAUCCAAUCAAUUAGUAUUCGCACUUAUCUGUAAUUUUUCAUUUUCUCUUUUCAGUUAGUAAAUUUUGACAAGUAUUCCAUAGUAAUCUAUAGCUAUUAGUCAAAUUAAAUUUCUAAGGGUUUAAUACAUUCCCAACAUUAGAUGUGAUUUAUAUGACCAAUUUGUUAGAAAUCUUAUACAAAAAUCUGCAUAACAGGUUGCCAGCUAAAUUAUAGUAUCUUGAUCCAACGGUGCUCAUUGUUUUAUGGAAAACGAAUAGUGUAAAUUAUCCACGUACGCUUAUCCGUAGAAGAGACCACGAAAUUAUAGAGCUUGCCAAACUUUCAAGCAAAUCUACAUCUAUCCCAUAGGGCAGCUCUUCAACGCACUCUCUUAUUAUUGUUAAAUUGGAAUAGAUGGUCCUCUCUCUCUUCAUAAUUUUCUAUUCACUAGCAAAAGAGCCCGUGCGAAAAGAAAAAAAAUAAAAAAUAAACGCUCGAAGAAUUAGUUUAUUCGUAAAAAAAAACAAUAUAUAUAUAUAUAUAUAUAUAUAUUAAAUAAGAAUGAUGUUGACUUACCUCAAGAAAAUAUACGAAAUAUGUAUUCAUUCUGUUGGAAAAAUAAUUAUCACAUAUUAAAAAAAAAUAUUUGCAUAUUGAUUUUUACCAAAAAAAAAUAUUUGCAUAUUGAGGAAAACACAUAACACUAUUUGUUGGAAUUAGAAAAAUAAUAAAUUUGAGAGAAUAAUAACAAUAAUAUAGUGAUGAUCAAGCCAAUGUUUGUAUAAUAUUUACAUAUAAUGAUGCUCAAUCACUUUCCAAAUACAAAAUUGUUUGAUUAUAAUAACAUUUAUAGAAAAUUAAACAUAAGGUGAGGUACGGCUAACCGAAUUUCCCUAAGUCAAUUAGUUCUAGCCAAUAGUGUUAAGUAGCUUUAUAAACUAUGCUUCCCAAGAUAUAAUAUCUCGAAUCAAUAUAUAUUAACACUAUACAAAAUAGGAUUAUAUCGACUACUUCUAGAAAUCAGCACACUUGGAGGAGUGCUUUUCCAAAGAGGAAUUCUAAAUUGUGAAUGACUAUUUGCCAUGAAUUAUAGAAGAUUCCGAAGAUAAUCAUUUUCGUAAGCUGAUGAUUAUCUUAGAAUUGUUGUAGAGAGAUUCUAGAAGAUUGGUCAUUAACAAGUCCCUUAAUUCAAGUAAAAUCUACUGGUCAAAAAUGAAGUAAUUUGUCCCUUAACGCGUCCAUCCAUUAAUUUGUCCAUAAUUGAAUCGCAAAACUAUUGUAUGUCAAAACUGCUGAAAAAAUGCAUCCCUUAACACAUCAAUUAAUUCGUCCAUAAAACUAUUCCACGACUGAUGCACGAGGGCUUGAGAAGGAACGCAUCCAUUAAAUUGUCCAUUAACACCGAAGGUUGUAUAAGAAAUGCACGAACUUAUGUUGAGUUGUUAAUAUCAUUAUUUUUUUGUUUUGAUACCCAGGGAACCUCGUACAGCCGGUAGUCAGCGGGUAAACCCUGGUGCGACGCUAGCAGAUAACCCAUGACCCGACGUCGCGCUUAAGAUCCCAUGCGGCCAGCGGGAUUCGACCCCCUCCACUUUUGUUAGUUUCAUUGGAGAGCCUUAUCCAACUGGGCCACUGCAAGUGGUGGUUUAAUACCAUUAAAUGCAAGAAAAAGAGAAGGGGAAUAAUCCCCAAUUGAAUUUCCUAUGAGAACGGGAAAGUAAUCCCCAAUUUCUUUCGAUUUCCUGCUAGAACAGGAAGGUAAUCCCUAAUUUCCUGCGACCUUCCCAUACUUGGUCACAUAUCGCUUCAUUCCUUCAGUAUAUAAAUUGACACAAUUCACACCCAAUUCCUAUCUCACACACCAAAUAGCUUUGAACUCCCAAUAAAAAGAAAAAAGAAACAAAAGAAGGAUGAAGAACUUUCAAGUUGCAACAAUCCUUGUGCUCUUUUUGUUCUUAACGACAAGUAAGCUUUCUCUUCGCGAUACGUAUGCUUCUUCAUCUUCUUUUUUAAAGAUUUACGUACUUAAAUCAUAAGGAUUAUAUUAUUUACACAUGCAUGAUUUUCAACCAAACUAAUUUCUUUAUCAUUCGUUUUUUUUUUUGGGGGGGGCAUGAAGGCGAGGUGAUAGUAGCGCAGACUCCGGUGGGUCCAUGUUUCGAGAGUUAUGAUCUUCCCGGCUGCAAUCGUGAAGCGUGCAUCGACUUUUGCAUUAAUAAGACCAAGUUGGCUUUGCCUGAGGGGGUUUGUAGCGAGGAUGGAGCCAGUUGCCUUUGCAUUGUAGUUUGCCAAUAAGUAAAUGCUCCUCUCUCUGUAACUGCCUUCAAUGAAGGGAUCAUUUUGUGACGUUUUCAAACCCACACACACUCUCUCUCUCACUCUGUCCCCAAAUAUCACUAAUCUCGAUCUAAAUUAUGUCUACAAGAGUGAUAUCUCAAAAUGCCGAGUAAUUUUAUUGCAAUCGAAGCUUCAUCACUCUCUAGGACGAGCCAUACAGGCAUAAGGCACAUAGAUUGACAACGGCACGAGCCGCUGAUACUCACGAUAGUAACAAAGUAAAUUGAUGAACUGAUUGUCUUGAAAAUUACGAGACUUGGAAAAUGCCCGGAAAGCCACGUUGAUUGUCGAUUAACGAUUGGCAUAAAUCGGAAAAUCUGAGCAAUCGAAAUCCUUGUGCAAUAAAUGGACGACUAACGAUUGAAGGGACCUUGACUAUGCCUUGGUUCUUGGAGUUAAGGUCUACAAUGAUUCGAAUGCCCAAUUCUCGUUUUCAAAGAAGUUGAUGGCGAGAGAUCUUGUACGAGAAGUUUGGUUUUGCCUACAUUGAAUAUGUGGUAUCAAGAAAAUUUCUGCAUUUAUUAAUAUGUAGGAAUUUUUUUAUGAUCAAUGUUAUGUGCGAGAAGUUUAUGCAAUCGAUUGAUGUGACGGUUACAUUUGAGCAAUGGGUUAGAAACUUACAAAGUUAAUUAUUUACUUAUGUUCGAAAAAUUUUAUUAAAUGUUUUGACAAGUUCAAAAUAUUUUUCAAAUUGAUCAAUAUUUAGAACAUACAUUGUUUUUUUUUUUAUAUAUUGAUUUACUUGAUUCCUUAGUAUUCCAAUAGAAAAAGCUACUAUAGAAAGUCGUUAUUUUGGCUUCUCUUCCAUUGGCAGGAGAGGCUUUGAACUUUAUAUUUUAAUUUAGGGAUAUGUUAAGUCCUAAAACUUGUGACGAAAGUGUAAUUGAGUCCUAAGAUUUACAAAAAGUGCAAUUAAAUCCUAAAACUUAUCAAAUUGAUUCAAUCAAGUCCUAAAUUUAACAUCGUCAAUUUGACUAAUGGUAAAUACUAACAUGGUUUUUUAAAAAUACUUUCUCUUUCCUAUGUGGCAAUGACAUGGCUUAAAUUAUAAUUUGUUUAACCAAAAUAUUAAUUAAAUUAAAGAAAAAAGUAUUUCAAAAAACCAAAUAAAAGGAAAAAAAUGAAACUAUGGGCAAUGGCGGUAGGCCCUGACCGCCGUUGCCUUCGUUGCCAGAAAGGGUUGGCGAGGGUCCCUAGGGCCUCGACUAGGGCCAGCAACUUCACCCAAAUCUGGGUGAGGAUCGCGACCCUUGAGCCAAAUUUGGGCAAGGGUUGCCAGCCCUUAACCUGCUAUCGUGGCCCUCAGCAAGGGUCAUUGGAUCACAUCGAGGGUAAAGAAGGUAAAGUUGCAGUCUCAUAUGUUGAUUAUGUUGCCCUAAACAUUUGUGAUUGUUAUGUGAGGGCAAGUGUGAAGGUGAACUUUUACUUUAGAUUUCAUUUGCUGGGUUUAGUCUCAUUCCUUUAUUUUUCUAGAAAUGUAAGAUGACCCUUUCGCCGCUACCACUUUUUGAAGCCCAAGUACACAUAAAGUAUGAGUAUGAGGAGGUUGUGUUGCCUAAUAUUGUUUUGAUGUAUACCAAGUACACUACUACAAUAUGAGUCAAUAUAAGACUUGUCAAAUGGGUUCCUCAUCGGUAUAUAGUUUGGUCUGUGAUAUUCAAAAGUGACUAGAUGAGACUGCCAUGAGGCUUUGAUGGUCCUCCUAGUUAUGUUGUCAAGGAGCCAAUGUUGGGGUAUGUUAUUGAUUCUUAGAUGACAGAUCAGUGUUGUACAUGCAGGUUUUUGAGAGCAGCAGUAUGGUAGUGGAGAUAGGAAUUACCAUAUGCCAACAUAUAUAUAUAUAUAUAUAUAUAUAUAUAUAUUGUAGAUAUUGAAAUUUAAUCUUGUUGCAUCCUAUAUGCAAGUACUCUAGCCCAUGAGCUAUGCCAAGGGAAAUCUAGUACAAUGUGUCCCGAGUCAACAGUUGAUCUAACUCCAAUGUGUUACUCCUAUUAAAUAUGAACUUUUCAAGGGAUCCGUUAGGCAUGAACUCAUAAACCAAAGCUCUUUUGCUUUCUUCAAAACAGAAUCCCAAGAGGUUGCCAACAUUGACAUGAGAAGUCCUCCUACUUAUGCUUGCAACUUCAUUGAAAAAUUCUUCAGCAUCGCCUUUCUUUAGAAGCUUCACUGCCACAAGUUGGCCAUCUUGAAGCUUGCCUUUGUACACACAACCAUAGCCUCCUUGGCCCAACUUUUCUUUGAAAGAGUCAGUCAUCCUCUUGAUGUCUUUAUAGGUGUACCUUCUCGAAGAGAUGAGUCCCUCGAUUUUCUUUUUGCCGUCGAAAUAUUCACUCCUUCACUUUAUCAAAGCCAUAAUUCUUCUUAUCAUUGGUUUCUUCUUGAAGGAAAGCAUUAAAAUAAGGGCGAUCCCAACUUCAUAUGUAAUCAAGUAAUAAGGUGACUAUAGUAUUUUCCUUUUCUAAACUCCACGAGGUUAAUCUUUUGCGGCACGGCGAUACUAAAUAAUUAUAAUAUAUAUGCUUGGUUGUCAUGCCAAAAGCACACACAUAGGAAAAAUGACACUUAAGUUCAUAAAUUUUGACUCAAUUUGCAUUGUCAUCCAUUAAUUUUUGGUUUGUUUAAAUGUGAUGUUUGGAUUAUUCUUAAAUGUUCAAUGUGAUCCUUUUGCUUAAUCGAACAAGGAAGAAAGUUAUUACAAGCCCCAAAACUAGUGUGAAAUGUUCAAUGUAAUCCCUAAACUAUAACAAAAUAUGCAAACUAGUCUCUAAACUAUUGUGAAGUGUGCUAUCAAUUCAUAAACUUCCAUUGUAUUUAGUCUAGUCCCUCAACUUUCCAUAACAAAGUCAAAUCGAUCUUUCAAUACUAUCUAUUUACAAGUUUGCAUAAUUACAUUAUUGCCCAAAUUUUAUAAUAUAUUUUCAUUUCAAUCUAUUUCCCAAAUAAAAAAAAUUAUUCUUUGUUUUUAUUAGAUUAUUAUCCUUUCAAUACCUAAAAAUAUUACAAUAGUUCUAUAUAAGUAUAUUUUAGCUUGCUAUCUCUAUGAUAGUAAAAGUAAAAUAUCAUUAAAAAUUGUAUCAAAUUGAUAUUCCUACUAUUUUAAGUAUUAAGUGAUUUCAUAAAGAUUAUAUCUAGAAACGAUAUUAAUUUAUCAAUAGAUACACAUACUAAUAUUAAUCUAAAACUUACUCAUAAUCUUUUAAAUAGAUAAAAAAAUUUACGCUUUUAUGUUACUUGUUUUCUUAAUAAAGUUUAGUUAAAUCCGUGCUUUUGGGGGGGGGGGGUGUAAAAGUAUCAUUUUCUUCGGAACAUUUACUGUGAAGCAUGAAAACACACCGUCGUAUCAAUAAUUGUAUUGCUUGUUCGCACUGUGCUAUAAAUUUCUUGAGGAUCCUUGCAUAUGCAAAAGGGACGAAACAUGGGCCUCAGGAAGCAAGAACGGUGGGUGAAUGAUUGGGCCUUGUAGACUCCGACCCAGAAAGGAGGCAUUUGAUGACCUAGAGUGUCUAGUAUGAGCAAAUAAAGGUGCUUGACACUUUGAUUUAAACGACAGAAAAAAAAAAGAAAGUCAUUGUUCUGAUAAUCGGACCGGACUAGCAGUUUAACCGGGCAUUAGUUCGAUUUUCGGCCAAUUCAUUUCUUUUUCUCCACUUAAGCCAAUUCAACCAAUUUUUGUGGGACAAUCCACUAUUAACUAGUAUAAAAGGAUCAUUCAAAAGAUAUUAAAACCGAGUAGUCCCAAGAUUAGGUACAAUAAUCACUAAGCUAACCGCGAGAUUGACCCUUGGACCAUCGGAUUAGCACAAAUAAUCCACCAAACCAAUUCUCAUUUUUAAAAGGUUAAUCUUUCUUUUUCCCAGAAGGGCCCAACAUCCUAAGCUCCCUUCAGGAAUUUGCAAAUUAUGAGCCCAUCAUGGGGCUCACCACCUGAUGCUGAUGGCUACCCUUUUGCACUUUUUUCCCUUGAAAACAAUUUGAGGGAUGAAAUUAUUCUAGAAUAUGGUUGAGAAUAUGCUGUGUGGAUGAUGCUAGUAUGAAGUUAAUGGCCGAAGCAUGUUCCCUUUAGUUUCAGAAACUCAGAAGAGAAGUCCCACCAAAUUGAAGACUCGGAGAGAGAGGGAGAGAGAGAUUGUGGGCUCCUCAUUAUCUUCAACCCCCAAAAUCGACAUUGGUCGUUACAUCACUCAUGUGCCCUUCUCUUUCUUGCCCACGAAUGGACCACCUAGUACAUUUGUGUCCACCACUCAAAUAUUGUUCCUAGCACCGUAGUGCUAAUGGGAGACAUGCAGCAUGAUCAUCAAAUCCUAGCCGUCCAUACAUAUUUGGGCCCUCAAAAAAGAUAACCUGCUUGCAAGUCACUUUCAAGAAAUAUUACACCAAGUAACCUUUUUGGGACUUUGGAAGUUUGUGCCCUAGAAUCAAAGUGGGGUUUAUUUUGCACUUUUAUAUUUAUCGCCCACUGGAGGGUAAAAUUAUCAACAAAAAAAAAAAAAAUCUUGUUAGCUGACGAUGUCAUGUAUCAUAAUCAAUGUCCACGUCGAUGAUCUCUAGUUAAAAUUGGUCGGAAGGACUAUAUUAGUUAAUCGUCAAAAAGUUAAUGACUAAAUUAGUCAAAUUAAAUAAUUUAUAAAUGAAUUGAUAUUUGUACAAUAAAUAAAUAAAAAAUUGGUAAUUAUCUCAUCAAUUAAGUACAUAAGAUAAUAGUACGAUCAAAGAGAAGCUAAUGCUUCACUUUGGGCAUGUCACCUUUGAUUAGGACAUGUUUAAUGUACAUGUUCUAUACAGAAAUUCAAUGGUAAGACUUGCCUGUCAAUCUGUGUUGUCUCAAUAGCCACUGAAAAGACAUGAAGGAGGAGAUGUGCUUCAGUGCUUUUUGCUAAGUUAGGUUCAUGUCAUGUACUUUUCACUUGAUCGAGAAACAUAUAAUAUAUUCGAAUGAUCGAGAGGAAGUUUAUGAUUUAAAGCUGGACAAACAUAUAUUGUAUUUUUAUUUUUUUUUAGCGAGAAAGAAUUUAGUCCUAGCCUAAAAAUUGCAUGGCAAGUGGAAAUUCCUAAACCCUAGAACACUCAAUUAACAUACCGAAUUUCCUUUUAGUUAAGCAGCCUCAAGUGGAAUGGCUCAAACCAGCCUUUGUCCUCUUCCAGUGCCAUUUGUUGAAUUCUUUCAUGGUUCAAUAAAUAAUUUGAGAAGCCAGCCAACGAUUUGCAGCACGCCAGUGAAGAAUUUUUUUUCACAUUUUUUUUAAUAAAAAAAUUGAAUUUCCAAUUAUCACAGUCAGUAGUCCUGCUUCGAACCUAGGGAAAGAAGGGGGAUUAAAUAAUGAUCCUAAUUUCAAUUUUUAUUACUGUGGGUCCACUGAGUGACUUUUAACAGUGGUAUUCAAGUCAGUUUUUUUUUUUGGUCGAAAAUACUUCAUUGAUUAAUACUAAGAUGGUGGAUUAUAACUAGUAAGAAAUCCAAACAUAAGAUAAGAUAAAGUUCGUGCGGGGGAUGAGAUACCGAGUUACUAGGAAGAGAACCUAUAUUAUGGGAUUUGAUGAUCCAAUCAACAGCUCAGUUUGAUUGGUGCGGUUCAAAUCACAAAAAGACAUUCUUCAUUUAGGCCAUCAUUUUUCUGCAGUCCAGGACGUAAGGGCGAGAGGCCAAGGAGAUUUCAGUUCGGCCCAAGAUGGAUUCCAUGACCGGGAGAUAGUCGCUAGAGAUAUACACGGGCAAGUCGGGCAAGUCAAUUCGUGCGUCUAAAGGAGUUCCUGUCAGAGCAAUUCGAGACUUCCUCAACCACUCGAGUGCCUGUUGAACAGUUAGGGUUUCUCCCAUGUGAGCCGAUUGAGCUCGGAUCUUCUGCGCGAAGCCUGCAAUACUCACCUCAUCCGCUCCUCUGCAUAUUCCGGUGAUGGAUUUCUCUGAUUUCUCUUCCUGCCAAGAGCAAUCGACAUUUAUUUUCAAGGCACCUAGAUCUGGAGGCAUCUAGGUAUGCUGUUCUGAGGUAAUUUCUUUCCUUCAUGGAUUCCACUUCUCAUAGAGCUGCUAGGAGAGAAAGGCUUCACUGAUUAUCUGUGCUUGUUUUGUUUUCCGGCCUUGAAAGAGCAGAGCAUUUCGGGCCUUCCAGAUUUGCCAAAGAGUGAUCGCGAAAAUUGCCUUUUGGCUUGUCGAGAUGCCAAACCGAAGGUAUUCACUUACCCAUCUAUCUGUUCUUGUUAUAGAGGUAGGGGAAACAUCUAUGUCGACAUUAUAAUUCAGCCAUAUUUCUUGUGUCCACUGACACAGCCAGAAGAGAUGCUUGGAGGACUCUAGAAACUGGUGACAAAAUGGACAUGUCGGCUCAAGUAUGAUUUUUCUCCGGUAUAAAUUGACUCUUGUAGGGAGACUUUCAUUACAUAAACUCCACAUGAAAUGUCUGAUUCUGGGGAUAGUCUGUAAAUGGCAGAUUUCUGUCCAUAGUCGUUUUAGUACCUGAUAUGAAGAGGAUGCCUGGUUUUCUGUGAUGGUUGUGUUCGCUACUCGUAAUUUAUGAUAUCCACUUUUGAGUUUAUAGUUCCUUGAGUAAUGCCCUGUCCAUAUUAAACGGUCAGGUCUGGUAAGUAUGCUGAGUGUUGUUGCCUGAAUUUCCUCUGAGAUGUUGUUGUCGAAGAGCUCAUUGAUAAGUUGACUAUUCCAUGCACGCAUAUUUGGAUCAAUAAUAUCUUCCACUAGCUUAGAGUCAUUUCGAUUCGCCGACCCUCCAAUUCUACCUGACAUUAGCCAACGAUCUUCUCUCAAGUUGAUAGAUUUGCUGUCCUCGACCUCCCAUUCCAGAUCAGGUUUUAGGGCAUCUCGGCCAAUUAGGAUACUCUGCCAACCCCAAGAUGGUCUGGCCUCCUUUGUAGUAGUCCAUAGAUUACCAUGAGGGAAGUAGAGACCUUUAAAAAUUCUGCUCCACAAGGCCUCAGAAGCUUGAUUUAGUCUCCAGGCUUGUUUUCCCAACAUAGCUUUGUUAAAUUCCACUAAAUCUUUAAACCCCAUUCCUCCUUGUUCCUUCCUCAUCUUUAAAACGUUCCAACUCUUCCAGUAAAUACCUUUUUGUUGUGCAUUCUACUUCCACCAGAAAGCUGAGACUUUCCUUUCAAUCGCUUAGCAAAUGGAUAGAGGUAUUUUAAAGAUAUUCAUGGCAUAUUGGGGUAAUGCCUGAACAACCAUUUUAAUUAGCACUUCUUUUCCCACCUUCAAUAUUAAUUGCUCUUUCCAUCCCUCCAGUUUUCUGUCCACCCGUGCUAUGAUCCAAUCUAACAUAUGUUUUUUAGUUUGGCCCCGAUCGGAUGGUAUCCCUAAGUAUUUUCCAGUUUUGUCUAAGAUAGGAACCCUCAAUUCUGAUGCAAUAUUUCAUUUCAAAUCCUGUGGACAGCUUGCCCUAAAAAACACUCCAGAUUUUGUCUAAGAUAGGAACCCUCAGUUCUAAUGCAGUAUUUCAUUUCAAAUCCUGUGGACAGCUUGCCCCAAAAAACACUCCAUAUUUGUUAAGAUUAACUAACUGACUAGAAGAAAACCAGUAGCAAUUUAGGAUAUUAGUAAGAUUCUAAGCUUCCCUAAUAGUUCCAUCCAAGAAGAAAAUGGCAUCAUCCGCAAAGAAUAGGUGGGAUAAGAUAGGGCAGUGUGGAUUCAGUUUGAUACCCUUUAAGCUUCCAUCCAUAAUAGCAUUAUGCACCAUGUGGGAGAGAACAUUGGACAAAAUUAUGAAAAGAUAAGGUGAGAGAUGAUCCCCUUGUCUAAUACCUCUAGUUGGAGUGAAAGAUUCCCCUGCUUCGCCAUUAAUUAGUAAACAAAAUUGAGCUAAAGAGAUAUAGAAUUUGACCAUAUUCACCCAUUUAUUGUUGAAACCCAUCUUCUUCAUACAAUCACAUAGAAAGUCCCACUCAACUCUAUCGUACGCUUUAUGCAUAUCUAGCUUCAACACAGCUUGGAAUUUUCUACCUCUCUUUCUAACCCGCAGCUGAUGUAGUACUUCUUGAACAAUAAAAAUAUUGUCUUGUAUUUGCUGGCCACUGAGGAAUGCACUUUGUUCCAAGGAGAUAAUGAGUGGAAGCCAAGGUUUGAGUCUAUUCGCCAUGACCUUUGUAAUAACUUUGUAGCUAAAGUUGCACAAGCUUAUUGGUCGGAAUUCUAUUAUGCUCUCGGGAUUUGCCACUUUGGGGAUAAGUGUGAUAAGGGUCUCAUCAAGUGCUGGAUCAAAGCUGCCUUCUUUGACAAAAGAAUCCACUAGGUUGAAUAUGUCUUCAUGAAUAAUAUGCCACUGACUUUGAUAGAAAAGACCACUCAAACUGUCUGGUCCAGGGGCUUUUGCUGCCCCCAUUUGAAAAACAGCUUGUUGCACCUCCUCCUUAGUAAUUUGUUCUGUUAACAACACAUUCAUUUCCUCAUAAACAACAAUUGGACAUUGCUCUAAGACUGAUAGAUAGUAACGGGAUCCCACAAAUUUAUAGGAUUCAAGUCAGUUUAGUUGCCCUCUGACUUUUGAUUAUUAAAUAUAUAUAUAUAUAUAUAUAUAUAUUGUAGAUAUUGAAAUUUAAUCUUACAUUUGCCAACAACUGCCAUCACUACUAGGAUCCUACAUGAUUUGAAUUGUUCAAGUCAAACCGACCCUUUGGACCCAAAAAUAAAAGUCAAACUGAUCCUCCAUCAUCAACCUCAAAAAGAAUACAUAGCUAGUUCACUUAUGCGCUCGAGGUGGGUCCUGUUCCUACACAUUAGCCCCUAAUAAGAUAUUCCUACACGUUCUCCAUUAUCUUUCAAUAUUAACAAAUAUUUGAGACUGAGUAGAAUGCUUCCGAUCGAAAAUCUUAAGUUUUCCAUCUAAUUUUAAGAGAUAAGUGUACUUUACGUCCUAAAACUUGUCAUAAAUAUAUAAUUGAAUCUUAAAAUUUUCAAAAAAUAUGAUCAAGUCCUAAAACUUAUUAAAUUAGUGCCAUAAGUCUUUUCGUUAAUUACAUCCAAUUUAGUUAAGGAAAAUUAUUGACGUGGUUUUUUUUAUUAUUUUUCUUUCUCUUAUACGCAACGCUAACAUGACUAAUAUACAAAGGAUAAGGCUAAAGUGACUUUAUAUUUGGUCCAAAUAUGAUUUUUUUUUAAAAUAUUAUUUUAAUUAGAUUAAAAAAUAUAAAAAGGAAGGAAGGCAAAACAAUAAGCGCCUAUAGGGCCUUCAUUGUGGCCGCCCACCACUACCAAGAAAGGUCGGUGAUGGUGGGGGAUAGUCAACCAAGAGUCGGCGAGGGUUGGCAACCCUCGCCCAAUCUAGGGGUGGGCCUACAGGCCCUCGCUUACGGUUGGUAAAGGUCGCUAGAUGCUAGCCAACAAUCCUCUACCAUCAUUGACCCUUCUCAAUGAUGAUGGGGCGGCGAAAGCCCCCACUGACUGGAUUUUUCUUUUUUUAAAGUUAGCUUAUUUUUUAAGAUAAUUUAAAUACAACUUCGAUUGAAAAACUAAAUUUGGACUAAAACGAUGUUGUUUUAGCCACGUUAGCACCAUUUAACAGAGAAAAAAAAAUCACAUGAGCAAUUUCUAUUAAUCAAAUUUGACAGAGUUAAUGGAAGCACUUGAUUUCACCAAUUUGAUUUGUUUUAAAACUUGAUAUCACAUUUUGUAAGUUUUAUAGUUCAAUUGCAUUUUCGUAACAAGUUUUAAAACUUUCGAUGAUUUAUUUCUAAAAUUAAUUAUCAUUGAGUCGGGUAAGCUCACUAAAAUAUCUGCAAAGAUCUAAUGCCACAUAAGAUAUUAUUAUUUAGGGCAUCAAAAAAGGAUCGGUCAAUGUCAGAUAGGGUUUGGUGUUUCUUUAGUUUAUAUAAUGAGUUUUUGUUAAUUUGGAGCCGGAAUUACCCGAUUGAUUAGGGUUAUAAUAUGGGGCAAUAUCUGUUGGUGCUUCCUUUUAACUAAUUAAAAAGAGGCAAGAAAAGGAGAAGACAAACAGACACAUUCACAGAGUGUCGAUGUCCAUGUAGACCCUUUCCUGGGGUUACAAAAGUGAAACGAUUGUAACGAAAGCGCAACAAUGUGAGGAGAGGACAACACGAAUGGGACAAGACCCGAGGCAUUUUUAUUAUCGAGUUUUACAAACAUAGAAAAAUUUCAUCUCAAAGAAUUAGUUGGUGCGAUACGGUUAAUAAUCGUAUCUAGACAUAUAACUUCUUUACUUAACCUUUCAAUUCAAAGUGGGUUGAACUAAUUAUAUUGACCAAUAUCGGAUUAGACUCCCUCUUGCAUAUGCUUAGAUGAUGGUAUCGGGCUUCCGUUGUACUCCACCCAUAUUAUCCUUUCAUUUACAUUUCAUUUUUGGGAAUUUUCUAAUGAUGAUACUAGUUCUAUUUAUUUUGCAAAAAAUGAAUAAUUUGAAAGAUAUUUUUCUAAAAGACAGUCACUUAUAUCACUUACAAAAAUGAAUGAAUAAAUAAAAGAAAUAAAUUUUAUCAUUCACAAAGAUGUUUAGAUAUAAAUUAUUGUUAAUAAUGAAAAUAUUUUCUAUCGACUAAUUAUUUCAAGCAAUCUAAAUGAGCAAUUUUUAAAAGAUUUUUGGGGCUGCUUUCAUGGUUGAUAUUCAUUAAAUCUGUUACAGUACUCGCUAACUGCAGAUGUAACAAGAGGGUAUCUGCACAAAUCCUUAUGUGCCACAAUGGAGUUCAUUUUAGAAACUGAUAAGGGUAUGACAUGCUUCCUCAUUGAUUCUAAAUCAAUUUUGGCAAUGAUAACUUGCGGGAAGGAUCUAAUCCAGUGCUUCCUCUGUUAAUUUUUUCAGCUGAGCUUCUUGAUCAAUCAGCUUCUCCUGAGAUGGUUAUCUUUUACAUUACUCAGGAUACCCAAAGACAUCCAUUGCUUCCUGAGUUGAAAUCAGGCAAACUUCUAUAUGUAUCUAUCUUUCAGUCUCUAGCAUAAUUCUGAACUAUAGUCAAUUGGUCAGAUAGAAAAUUGUAAUACGCUUAUUUAUCUGCUCAUGCAUAUUUGGAUGAAAAGCGACAGGAUGGACAAGUUCUGCUAUAAUCAAUUGUAAAAGUCUCAUUGGUUUUGUUGCUAUAUCUAAAGAAAAUAUGCAUUCGCCUGAUCCAACUUCUUACGAGGAAGAUGUUGACGUACAGGUGGUUUUCGAGUGACUGGAAAGAUGUCCAUUCAGUGUGCUCUGUCAGACCCAAUUAGUGGAGAGCUUAUUGUGGAAACAUCUGCAGUUCCAAUUCGCUCUGCUGACAUACACAUACUUCGAAUUGAGUCGAUUCUUUUUGGAGAUAGAAUUGUGACCGACACGUCCUUGAUACAAACAACCCAGGUGCGUAAUUUUUUAACUAAAUAGAUGUAUAUUUCUGGAUCAAAAUCUUCCUUAACAAUGUCCUUCUACAUGUACUAGAUAGCAGAUGGGGAUGUGUGUCAGUCUCAGCAUAUGAUAUUCCUCCUCGCCUCUUAACUUGUCCAACGACCUUGGCUGGGUGAGUUGCUGGAUUCACAUUGCCACACUCUACAUGAGUUACAACACAGCUACAGCUGAGGUGAUUAAGCCACAAUGUAAGAACACUUUCCCCAGUGAAAUUUUCAAUUAAGGGGAAAAGGACUCUAAAUUGCCUCAAUACUCUAUCAGCCAAGCAUAAAAUUUAAACUGAAGUGCUACAAAUCCUCAAGCUCCCACAGAGGCAGGAUGUGCAGCAACGUCAUAGUGUGAUUAAUUCAUGAUUCGACAACUCUCUCACACAAUUCGAUUCCCGGCACCACCUAUCCAGAUCAAACAGAGAGACGGGCAGAUGCCAAAGGCACAACAUAUAUAAUGCAUUUGCGCAAGCAGAUCGAUAGUCAAACACAUACAGAAGGCUGACACGAUCACAAAGACGAUCAAUUCGCUCGAGGCGUCAUUAAGUAUGAUCUCGUCAGCUCGAGCAACAUCCACACCGCAACCACUGAUCAUUAACAAUUCAUACCGUGAACUGAAGACUGUUCGGAGGCUUGUUGAUGGGCAAAGAGUAUUCAACGCCAUCGAGAGUGAACUUCCCCUCCUCUAUCCUGUUCCCGACCCGCCCCCACAAUGCAGCCGAAGAACGGCGCAGCAACUUUCUGCGCAGCACAGAAAACACAAAUCGACCCACAAAAGACAUUCAUCAACCAAAUCUUCCAAAGCUCAAUCCCACAUCAAAACCGACGAAAACAGCCCAAUUGACCAUAAAGUUUCGAAAUUUUCAGCAGAUCAAGAGCCGCGGAAGCGAAGAAAACAGAAAUGCGCGAUCACCGACACAUCUCCACAAGCGCGGGAGGCCAAAAAGUAACGAACUUUCUCACCAGAUACGGCUCGACGGAGUCGAAACCCAGGACCACAUCCGCCAGUUUCCCUGAAAGCAACGAAGAAAAAAGACAGGCAGACACGAUCGAGUCAUCAGCAACGAUUCCGACCAUGAACAGAGACCACGAUCAUGAGCGACGAACCGUCUUUGCCCGGAACGGAGAGCGAGGCGAUGGUGCAGCCGAGGUUGGCGAUCUUCACCCGCAUGGUCCCAUUGUCGAGCUCGAACAGCUCUGCUUGCCUGGCCUGAUCCGCUAUAAGGAUUCUUCCUUUUUCUUCUUCUUCUUCUUCUGGGAAGAGCACGAUCUUAGUCAGUUUCUCCACCGAGUUUAUCCGAAAUUUUUAGAGAAACAGAUAGCAUUUGAAUUUAAGUCUAAUAUAUAAUUUUGGAAUCGGAUUCUAUCGAUAUCGAACAUUUUUUUUUUAGUAAAAAAGAUAUCGAACAUUUUUAUAUAGUAAAAGUUUAAGAAUUAUAUUACACAUUAAAAUAAAGUUUAGAGAUCACAUUAAAUAAAUUAAAAUUUUAGUGAUCAAAUUACACAUUUGAUCAAAAUCCAUGAAUUAUUUGUAUCAUUUUUCCAAUUUUUUUUGCUAUUGCCAUGUGGAGAGUUAAGGAAAUAAGAUAUACAAAGAUUACAUCAAUAUACGAUAAAGAAUCACCAAUCACUUAUUAAUGUUAUUAAUAAAUGGAAAUUUACUAUCCACAUUGAUUUUAAUACUUUUCUAUAUGAAAUUUUACCAAGUAUAAUGAAUAUCACUAGUCCAUAAAAUUUAUUAGUUUCUUAUAAGAAAUGUUGCUAAGCAUAUCCAAAAUUAUUUUGAUGCAUAUGAAAAUCACUAACCACAUAUAUACGUUAUCGGUAAAUGAAAAGGUACUGACUAAAUUUACAUAUUUUAUUUUUUUAUGUGAAAUCUUACUAAGCAUAUUGAGAACUUCUUUACAUUGUUAAUCAUUUAUAGGUAUUCCUAGUAAAAAAAACUUACUGAUAUAACUAGGUAUUUCCCAUAUAAAUUUUUUUUUGCACAUUGAAAGUUUACUUCGAUAUGUAGGAAAAUUACUUCCAUGAUCAUGAAAGUAAGUUUAUUCAUAUAAGCAAUUUGUAUUUUUCUAGACUGUUCUUUAGUAAAUUCUUAACUUGAAAAUGAUUUAAAUCUAUCCAAUCUGUUAGUAUUCGCACUGAUCUGUAAUUUUCAUUUUAUCUUUUCAGUUAGUAAAUUUUGACAAGUAUUCAAUGGUAAUCUAUAGCUAUUAGUCAAAUUUCUAAGUGCUUCAUACAUUCCCAACAUUAUAUGUGAUUUAUGUGACCAAUUUGUUAGGAAUCUUAUACAAAAAUCUGCAUAACAGGUUGCCAGCUAAAUUCUAGUACCAUUAAUUUCAACACAUUCAAUGCAAGAAAAAGAGAACGGGAAGGUAAUCCCCAAUUUCCUACGAGAAUGGGAAGGUAAUCCCCAUUUGAAUUUCCCGUGAGAACAGAAAGGUAAUCCCCAAUUUCUUGCGAGAACAGGAAGAUAAUCCCCAAUUGAAUUUCCUGCUCCAUAAGCUGAAUAUUGGACCUUCCCAUACUUGGUCGCAUAUCGCUUCAUUCCUUUAGUAGAUAAAUUGACACAAUUCACACCCAAUUCCUAUCUCACACACCAAAUAGCUUUGAACUCCCAAUAAAAAGAAAAAAGAAACAAAAGAAGGAUGAAGAACUUUCAAGUUGCAGCAAUCCUCGUGCUCUUUCAGUUCUUAACGACAAGUAAGUUUCCUCUUCACGAUACGAAGCUUCCUCUUCAUGAUACGUAUGCUUCUUCUUCUUCUUCUUUUUUAAAGAUUUACAUACUGAAAUCAUAAGGAUUAUAUUAUUUACACAUGCAUGAUUUUCAGCCAAACUAAUUUCUUUAUAAUUUCUUUUUUUUUUUGGAGGGUGGGGGCAUGAAGGCGAGGUGAUAGCGGCACUGCCUCCAGUGGGUCCAUGUUUUGAGCGUUAUGAUCUUCCCGGGUGCAAUGGUCAAGCGUGCAUCGACUUUUGCAAUAAUAAGACCGGGGUGGCUGGGGCUGGGGGGUUUUGUAGCGACGAUGGAGCCAGUUGCCUUUGCAUUGUACCUUGCCAAUAAGUAAAUGCUCCUAGGGGGCUUUGUAGUGAGGAUGGAGCCAGUUGCCUUUGCAUUGUACCUUGCCAAUAAGUAAAUGCUCCUCUCUCUGUAACCUACCUUCAAUGAAGGGAUCAUUUUGUGACGUUUUCAAACCCACACACACACUCUCUCACUCUGUCCCCAAAUAUCACUAAUCUCGAUCUAAAUUAUGUCAACAAGAGUGAUAUCUCAAAAUGUCGAGUAAUUUUAUUGCAAUUGAAGCUUCAUCACUCUCUGGGACGAGCCAUACGAGCAUAAGGCAUAGAUUGACAACGGCACAAGCAGCCGAUACUCACGAUAGUAGCAAAGUAAAUUGAUGAACUGAUUGUCCUGAAAAUUACGCGAGUUGGAAAAUGCCCGGAAUGCCACGUUGAUUGUCGAUUGACGAUUGGCAUAAAUCGGAAAAUCUUAGCAAUCGAAAUCCUUGUGCAAUAAAUGGACGACUAACGAUUGAAGGGAACUUGACUAUGCCUUGGUUCUUGAAGUUAAGGUCUACAAUGAUUCGAACGCUCAAUUCUCGGUUUCAAAGAAGUUGAUGGCGAGAGAUCUUGCACGGGAAGUUUCGUUUUGCCUACAUUGAAUAUGUGGUAUCAAGAAAAUUUCUGCAUUUAUUAAUAUGUAGGAAUUUGUUUAUGAUCAAUGUUAUGUGCGAGAAGUUUAUGUGAUGGAUUGAUGUGAUGGUUACAUUUGAGCAAUGGGUUAGAAACUUACAAAGUUAAUUAUUUACUUAUGUUCGAAAAAUUUUAUUAAAUGUUUUGACAAGUUCAAAAUAUUUUUCAGAUCGAUCAAUAUUUAGAACAUACAUUUUUUUUUUUUAUAUAUUGAUUUACUUGAUUCCUUAGUAUUCCAAUAGAAAAAGCUACUAUAGAAAGUCAUUAUUUUGGCUUCUCUUCCAUUGGCAGGAGAGGCUUUGAACUUUGUAUUUUAAUUUAGGGAUAUGUUAAGUCCUAAAACUUGUGACGAAAGUGUAAUUGAGUUCUAAGAUUUACAAAAAGUGCAAUUAAAUCCUAAAACUUAUCAAAUUGAUUCAAUCAAGUCCUAAAUUUAACAUUGUCAAUUUGACUAAUGGUAAAUACUAACGUGGAUUUUUUAAUACUUUCUCUUUCGUAUGUGGCGAUGACAUGGCUGAAAUUAUAAUUUUCUUUAAAAAAAUUAUUAUUGUAAAAUAAAAGCGAAAAGGGCCGGGCCAGGGAUAGGCCUGCUCGGCCCUCUCCUCUCUUCCUUCCGUUUCUUCUUUCCUCGAGGCCAGCCCAACCCGAUGCUUCUUCAUUUUUCUCUCCCAAGUGGGCCGGCCCAACGCCUCUUCCUUCCAAGCCCGGCCCACUCCUCUUUUGUUCUUUUCUUCCUCCCCCCUAAUCCACGUGGCCCAGGUUUUCCUCCGCCGGCCCAGCCUCACUCUCCUUUCCCCCCUCUCCCUCUGGCCGCUAGCUCGACGACAGACGGGGAAGGACAUGGCCGUAUGUGAAGCGAGGACGGCGAGGACGUUGGCGACGAGCGUUGCGCGGGACACCAACGUAGGGAAGGUAGUCUGGUACGGGGCUAGCUGGCGUCGCCCUAGAGGAGAGAGAAAAGCUUAGAGAGGGAUAAAGGGAGAGAAGGCAGAGAGAGAGGAGGAGCUCUGUUUUUCGGCUGGUUAGAACCCAAAGAGAACAACCGAGAGAGGGUGAGCUCAAGAGAAAGGAAAAGCGAGCUCGAGAGAGUAUCUCACCAUUGCCUGACGUCCAUUCGUUGCUCGUCAUCCCUCGUAGUGCUGCAUCCGAACCAGGUAGGUCAUUGCCGAAUCCUUGUGCCCUGUUUUUGGGGCUUCGCCCCGGAGCUCACGACCGACCAGUUCGCACGAACUUCGGUACCGUCCGUCUUCCAUUAAAGCUGCUUUGUGUCCUAGCGUGCGUCGUUAGGAGUUUUGGUCCGCGAUUAAGUCCCUAGCAAGUCCAAAGUCCCUUGUUCAAUAGUGUGCAAUAGUUGUUCGCUAAAAUAAGUGAGGCCUGGGUUCAUGUGAUUUGUUUUGGCCGAGAUUUGUGAUUUUAAGGUUACUGGAGCUAAAUGCUGAAGAUUCGUCCCUAAGUUAGUCUCGAGUGUCAAUCUUAUCUAGUAUGACCAAUCUUUGCGUAAACCCAAAUCCCGAAUGAGCCUAGGUCCUCCCUCUAGCCAAUGCAUUCUAUCUGUUUGAUGAAAUGUCAAAGCGAGAUUCAGAAAUGAUUUUUAUGAGGUUCGUUUCUGUGGUGUCGUCUUUGUUCAAAUUGAAGUCCAUUCCAUUGUGUCGUUUGCUCAUGCUGGUGUUAGUACUUGAAUCAUUAGAGUUUUGGUCAUACGAAAUUUUAGGGCUUGAAAAUCUUUCGUUGGAAGUAUUCCGACAAUGGUUAUGACCUCCGGCCAACUAGUGGCCAACAAUGGUGGGUGUUAGUCAGGCCAGAGGACCGACAUUGGGUGGUGGUCUAGCAAUGGUUUGAACGCCCGCGAGGGCUUGUCUGGGCGGUAGUGUGGCUUCGGUGCAGGGGAAGCCAUCUAGAAAGAAAAGGAGCCGCACAAAGAGGAAGAAUACCAGAAAAAUAAGAGAAAAAAAAAAGAAAAAAGGAAAAAAAAUGGAAUAUAAAAAAAUGUAUUAAAGAAUGAUGUUUUAUUUGAGUAGUUUGGAUUUGGGUCAGAGGAUCGGGUUAGCAGGUCAAAUCGGGUAAACCCGAUCAAAACCAGUUUCGUGAAUAUAAUAAUAUUAAAGAUUAAAAGAUUAAAAAAAUUAAAAUUAAAAGGAAAAGAAAAAGAGUAUUAAACAAUAAUAAGAAAAAAUACUAAUUCUAAAUUGUUUAGAAAAUUCAAAAUUUCUGAAAAUUAUUUUUAAACAAUUAAUAAAUUUUCAAAAAAAUUCAAAAAUUUCAGAAAAAUCUUAAAAAUUCAGAAAAUUUGGAGAACAACAAAAUUUGUGAAGAUUUCUAAAAAAAUUAAUAAAAAUAUUCCAAAAAUUCUGAAGUCUUUUGACUCUAAAUUUGCACUAAAAAAUUGAACAUACCCUUAAGGCUUUACUUUAGAGUUUCGAUUGUCCUUAAGGACAAUUGCCUUUGGUUGCCCAAUAUCAAUACAUUGAUUUUAGUUUACCUUGAGUUUAGUUAGGAUUGACAUUUAUCUUAUUCCUUAGUGUUAGGUCCUUGCUAUCCAUGCAAUUUAUUUUUUAUGCGCUCUUGGAUUACUGAUUAUUAUGUUAAUGAUUGUGCACUCGUAUAAUCACCUCACAUGUUAAUGAAUAAGUAUAAAAUCAAUCCGGACGGCCUGAUGAAAAUCUUUUUUUGAAAUGAACAAAAUUAGAUGCAAAAAGAGCACUAAUUAGCGUAAUCAAGUCCCUGACCUUUCAUUUGGUUAUGUAGGAAGUGAAGAAUGCUUCCACACUUCACUUGCUUUCUAGCUGACCCUAAUAGACUAGUGGCGACUCAUUUUUUUAAAAGAAUUCUUAUACCAUCAAUUUGAACACUCGACGUCAUGUGAAGUAAGGGUUUGAGAGAGCCCACAUUUAAAUCAUGGGCCAAAGGCCCAUCCUUUAAGCAAUACUCCUAAGCCUACUUUCCUCCCUAUCGAGAGGUAGGUUGGGACAAGCCUCACCUAUCACCGUUCCUUGCUAUUUUGAAGGAGAGAGAGCUGGGGGAGUGGGGUAUGGUUGAAAAUGGAUAGGGCCGUGUGAUCAAGAGAAAUCAAGAUUAGGCCGAGUUCUGUCGGCCUAAAUUGAGCUUCAAACUUGUCUAAGUUUGGCGAAAGGAGAUGAAUUGAUCACACUUAAGCACGGAGGAAGUUAGUGCGUUUACAAUUGUAACAUUUGUUGCUUGAGUAAUUCUCUAGUGUAGUCUAUAAUAAGAAUUAUAUGAAAUGACAUAUCUCUCUUUUAUGCUUAUAAAUGGAUUAGGCCUAUUCGAUUCAAGAGUUCAUGAGAAAUGACAAAUUAUAUCAUAUUUGGACAAAUGACAAACUCAAUUUAUAAUAUGAAAUAAUGCCCUUUUCACUUUUUUUUUGGUACAUUUUCUUUUAUAUACUAUUAUUACAAACUAUAUCAGUCCCGUAUACUUGAUGUUGGAUUUACCCAACUCAAGUCACUAUUGUUUUACAAAUACAAACAAUCACUCGGACAAGUAGCGAGCGAUCUUGAGGGAGAUGACAAGGAUGGUAUAGGAGGAAUUUGUGAGGCUUCAACACUUCCUUUUAGCAUCUCUGCAACUUAGGUCAUAGAUGGUCGAGCUCUCGAAUAGUUCUAAAUGUACCAUAAGCCUAUUACAAUCAUCUUCUUCGCUAUUCUUUCAUCCUUCUCAUUCAUGAUCCCAUGUAGCCCAAGCUCUUCUCAGAGCUCCAAAUAUUGGUGUGCCCAAUGAAGGGAGUAUAUUUGGCUAGUAUGAUCUAUUGUGACUUGAAAUUUUUCCUCCUGCCAACCAUCUCGAGAACCAUCAUAACAAAGCUAUAGACAUUCAAUUUGCAAGAAACCCUGCCAAUGUCCCUCAUGAUCAGCUCUAGAGCAAUGUAUCCGGGGGUGCCCUGAGCACCUAGCAUUGACAUGAUGCUCUUUUGUCUAGGGCAUAUUUUGGGAAGACCAAAGUCAGAAAUUUUGGGACAAUAGUUUUGGACCAGAAGAAUGUAGUGGGGCUUUAUGUCAAAGUGCAAGUUCCUCAUUUGGUAGCCUCUAUGUAAGUACUCUAGCCCAUGAGUAACGCCGACCAAAAUCAAGUACGAUGUGUCCCUACUCAAUUGUUGAUGUAUGUCCAAAGCAUUACUUUUGUUGAAGACGAACUUUUGGUGAUUCAUUUGGAUCAGAAGGAGGCAGAGGAUCGCAGAGGAUAGGAGAAAGAGGCAAGAGAGAGUGUGGAAAGCAUUUGCGGAAGCAUCAAAUGGAGUUGGUUUUGGUCCAAACUCCCAUCACUGUCAAGUGCUAGUUCUUCAACUUCGAAGCAAAUACCAAGUGAGGCAGAAUGUGGACUGAUGCGUGCAUUAUUCAAACAACCAAUGAAGAAUAUUUGCGAAAAAUUUGCUCCACAAAAUCCUAAAGAUCAAACCAUGAAACUCCUAGUAAAAGGGACCUCUAAAUUACAAUUAGGAACAAACCUCCCAUUAUACAAAUCUUCGUGACUAGUCAGUGAAAAUGAGUCUCUCUUGUGAGAUUUUGUGAAAUAAUUGCCAACUAUUCUAAAAGUUUUUAAUUAUUAGAUGAAGGCGUGGUCUAUUAUUUAAAUAUUCUAACACUCUCCCUCACGCUUAAUCUUGUCUUUUGCCUAGUACUAAUCGUGGAAAUUUAAUUGUGGAGACAAAAUAAAGCUUGGAAAAAUUUGAACUUAAGAGCAAUAACUCCGAUAUCAUAUGAGAUUUUGCGUGAUUAUUAUUAGCUAUUCUUAAAGUUUAAGCUAUUCAAUGAAUGCGUGAUUUAUUAUUUAAAUAUUCUAAUAUCUCUCAUGAAAAAUUCAUCCCCAAGCAAUAAAUAACUUGAGAUUUGCUAUUGCUUUGCACCACCAAAAAAGAAAAGUCAUGAAAAAGUCAUCAUUGUCGCAUGACAUUCUUAGUUGGAGGAAGACAAAACAAGUACGGCACCAUCGAAUUUCUAGCAAAAGAAACAAGUGGAUCACAUUCAAUCAAAUUGAGUUUUCUCCGUACAAAUUCUCGGGGUCUACUGACCAUAUGAUCUUUCAGGCACUAAUAGAAAUUGACUUCACAAAAGCUCAAGGUUUAGUGAUUUUGUGCAUAUUCUACAUGGUUGAUAAUAGAAUCUGAUGCGCCUAUAGAAACAAGAACCUGCCUAAUAAAGUUGAGAAAGCUCACCCGGGAAUGCUACUGAAAGAACGUGCGGGGUCACUGCAGGUACGAGCGUAGGGUUGCCAUGCAAUAACACAUGACACUAGAUGUUGAAGGAGAGAAGUUGCUGCCGCAAGAACCGCCAGAAAAAGUGCACGCCGACCACUCGGCUUGGUCACCACACUAAACAUCAAACCCUUGAUUCAAAACUUCCUACAAGCUGAUAUUGCAUCUUCCCAUAUCAUCGAGCGCGUUCUAACAUCGGAAUGGAAAGGAGACGACCAGGCUUGACCAAAAAGGGUUCAGUUUAACGUCAACACGAAAAGGAGACUACCUUGCUUGGCCUUAAGACCACUGAUUAAGAUAACAAGGAAUUGCUAACACAUUGAUGACACUUUAUCAGGAAGGAAGUCGGUGCAUUUACAACUCUUAACAUUUGUUGCCUAACUAAUUCUUUAGAACAAUCCAUGAUAAAAUCUUUAAACAAAAUGACAAAUCUCUCAACUAUACUUGUUAAAUGAAUUAGGCGCAUCCAAUUCAAGAGUUCAUAAUGGAGGUCAUUCAAUAAAAUAUGUUCAAACAUGUAAGCUAUUUUGCACAAUAUAAUUCCUAUUUGGAUAAAUGGCAAACUAUAUUGAUAAUAUGAAAUAAUGCACUUUUCACUUUUUUGCUUUUUCCAUCAUACUCAUAGGAAUUUAAUCUAGACAUUUGAUCACAAGUUCAUGAAAAGCUCAAUAGUCAUUAAUUAAAACGUCGAUAGCCCUUUUUAGUGUUUUUUAUUUACUCUAUUACAAACUAUGUUAGUCUGCUAUAAGUGAAAUUGAAUAACCACAACUCGAGUCAUUACUCUCUUGCAAAGAAGAACUUUCACAUGGACAAGCCUCCAGCAAUCUUGAGGAUGAUGACAAGGAUGGCUUUGGAGGAAUUUGCAAGGCCUCAGCACUUCCUUUUAGCAUCUCCACAACUUGAGUCAUACAAGGUCGAGCUCUUGGAUCAAUCUGAAUGCACCAAAAGCCUACUACAAUCAUCUUCAUUGCUAUUCCUUCUUCCUUCUCAUUCAUGAUCCCAUGCAACCCAAGAUCUUCUUGGAGCACUAGACGUUGGUGGACCGAAUGAGGAAAGUAUACUUCACUGGUACGAUCUACCGUGACUUUGAUGUUUUUCCUUCUAUCGACCAUCUCUAGAACCAUCAUGCCGUAGCUAUAGACAUCUGAUUUAUGAGAAACCCCUCCGAUGUUCCUUAUGAUCAGCUCUGCAGCAAUGUAUCCAGCAGUGCCUCGGGCACCUAGCAUUGACACGAUGCUCUCUUCUCUCGGGCAUAUUUUGGCAAGACCAAAGUCAGAAAUCUUGGGACAAUAGUUUGCAUCAAGGUGAAUGUUGUGGGGCUUUAUGUCGAAGUGCAAGAUCCUCAUGUUGCAUCCUAUAUGCAAGUACUCUAGCCCAUGAGCUAUGCCAAGGGAAAUCCGGUACAGUGUGUCCCAACUCAAUAGUUGAUCUAACUCCAAUAUGUUACUCCUAUUAAAUAUGAACUUUUCAAGGGAUCCAUUAGGCAUGAACUCAUAAACCAAAGCUCUUUUGCUUCCUUCAAAAUAGAAUCCCAAGAGGUUGCCAACAUCGACAUGAGAAGUCCUACUUAUGCUCGCAAUUUCAUUGAAAAAUUCUUCGACAUCGCCUUUCAACUUCUUUAGAAGCUUCUUUGCCACAAGUUGGCCAUCUUGAAGCUUGCCUUUGUACACACAACCAUAGCCUCCCUGGCCUAACUUUUCUUUGAAAGAGUUGGUCAUCCUCUUGAUGUCUUUAUAGGUGUACCUUCUCGAAGAGAUGAAUCCCUUGAUUUUCUUUUCGCCAUCGAAAUAUUCACUCCUUUGCUUUAUCAAAGCCACAAGUCUUCUUAUCAUUGGUUUCUUCUUGAAUGAAAGCAUUAAAAUAAGGGUGAUCCCAAUUCCAACUCCUAAUGUUGCUACUCCUGAAAAAACAUAGAACAUUCCAAAACGGCAAUCUCACUUCAUUACUUUAUCAAGACUUCUAAGUUGGGAAUCUUUAUAGAAAAUAGUCAAUGAAAAACAUGAUUUAACGGAUUACCUAUGAUGACUUUUGUCCCCAAAUUGCCAUGUUUCCCUGCCAGGACGCAAAUGCUUAUCAAAUAAAUCUUGAAUGAUUUAACGGAUUACCUAUGAUGGCUUUUGUAUUUAUUUGUUUUUUUUCUUCUUACUCAUGGACUGCCGACUGCCAACCGCCACCGCACGACCGCCGCACGACCACCACACAAUCAUCGCACGAUCGCCACACAAUCGUCGAAUGACCGCCGCACGGCCGCGCACAACCACCGCACGAUAUAAUUCCUAUUUGGAUAAAUGGCAAACUAUAUUGAUAAUAUGAAAUAAUGCACUUUUCACUUCUUUGCUUUUCCAUCAUACUCAUAGGAAUUUAAUCUAGACAUUUGAUCACAAGUUCAUGAAAAGCUCAAUAGUCAUUAAUUAAAAUGUUGACAGCCUUUUUCAGUGUUUUUAUAUACUCUAUUACAAACUAUGUUAGUCUACUAUAAGUGAAAUCGAAUAACGACAACUUGAGUCAUUACUAUCUUGCAAAGAAGAACUUUCACAUGGACAAGCCUCCAGCACUCUUGAGGAUGAUGACAAGGAUCGUUUUGGAGGAAUUUGCAAGGCCUCAACGCUUCCUUUUAGCAUCUCCACAACUUGAGUCAUACAAGGUCGAGCUCUUGGAUCGAUUUGAAUGCACCAUAAGCCUACUACAAUCAUAUUCUUUGCGAUUCCUUCUUCCUCCUCAUUCAUGAUCUCGUGCAGCCCAAGAUCUUCUCAAAGCACUAGACGUUGGUGGACCGAAUGGGGAAAGUAUACUUCACUAGUACGAUCUAGAGUGACUUUGAUGUUUUUCCUUCUACCGACCAUCUCCAAAACCAUCAUGCCAUAGCUAUAGACAUUUGAUUUAUGAGAAACCCCUUCGAUGUUCCUUAUGAUCAACUCUGGAGUAAUAUAUCCAGCAGUGCCUCAAUCGUCGCACAACUGCCGCACAACUGCCACACGAUUGUUGCAUGACAGCCGCACAACCGAUCAUUCCACAACCGCCACAUGACCGCCGACCAUCACUAUCAACCGCCGCCGCAGGAUGCUGCCCACUGCCCAUUAGCCACAAGAGGGGGCAGUAAGGUCGCUGGCCCUCGUCUAGCCGAUCGCCAGUCCGGCAACCAGCCACUUGUUGAAGGAGAAGAAGAAGAAUAGGAAAAAAUGAAAAGAAAAAAAAAACGAAAAAACGAAAAAUAAAAAAGUAUAAAAAUUAUUUAAAAAUUAAAAUAAAUUGAUUUGAAACAGAAUCAAUGAGGAUGGUACGAAACGCAAUUCUAUUUCAAAAUCAGAAAUUUUGGAUAGUUAUUAAACGGCUUAAAAUACUUAGAAAUUGUUCUUGGGAACAGAAUCGUUACCAAACAAGCCCUAAAUGUACGCUGCAAUAAUAACUCCAUACACAAAGACCUUACAAAAGCCACUAUGAACGAUUGAAACUUCUAUCAAGGUUCGAAGAGCGAUUUGCACCAAUCUCUAUUAGGACAGUCAAAAUUAAAAUGAUUUGGUUAUUUUCUUAAAUUCAUUAUACCAUUCUCUGUUAGAGCAAUUUACACCAAUCCAUGCUUGCAAUUGAUUGAAGACUUUGAAAAUGAUUGUCACGCCCCGAUCCUCCCGGCAAGUGUCCAUCCCUCUUUGGUUGAUUAAAUAGCGAUGUCCAAGGAUGCAUCACUGACCCAUUCAUUUUAAUACGCAUGUGGAAGCAAUUAAUAAAUCCCCAAACAACAACAAGAUAUGAUAGAAAAGUAGGGCCUCAAUUUUUCAAACCAAAACAAGUUUUUUUAUAAACAUACAAGUUUAUAGACUAUGCCAGGCUGUUUACAAAAAUAUCGGCUUAACGAAAGGGGAACUAUCCUAUGACCCUCUAGUUGGACAUGUUCGCCGAUUAUUUGGUCUCCAUAUUCCCAAACUCCAAGGCUUCGGGUCCUCCACCAACAUCAUCUAAGAACCUGAAAAUGGUUAUACAAUAACUAGUGAGACAAUGUUUCAGCAAGUUCAAUCCCCCAAGACCCGACUAGAAAGAAAAUACGUCCUGAGGGCUAUUUAAGCACAACACGAGUCGGAGGUCUUACCUUUGCCUCAGUUCCUCCCUGCAAUACAACACAAUUCAUAAUCUCAUCGAGUCACAUCAACCAAUCCAAUCAUUUACUCAAAUUGACUCAUCAAUCAAUCGACCUAGUCGAUUACAUGUCAAACAGACCAUUCCCCAAUCAUUUCAGUUAAUACUAUCUAUACAGUCCAACCACCUUGCGGACAGCUUACUCUAAGCUAAAAAAUAGAUAGUAGCUAGCCUCAAGGCUAAUAACUAAUAUACUACUCCUUCUCCAAGAUGACAUAUCAAGUCAUCGAGUUGAUAUAAUAUACUAUUCUUUCUCCGAUAUGACAUACCGAGUCAUCGAGCCAAUAUAAUAUAAUGUCUUUUUCCGAGAUGAUAUACCGAGUCAUCAAGCCGACAUAAUAUAUGUCUUUCUCCGAGAUGACAUACCGAGUCAUCGAGCCGACGUAAUAUACGUCUUUCUCGGAGAUGACUUACCGAGUCAUCGAGCCGACGUUUGUUCUCCAACAAUUUCUCAAUUUUUAUCAUACCCAAUAAAAUAGCCGUGUAUGGGUACGCGAUUGGCCUUAACCAAAAUAUAAUAAUUUCCUUUUCAUAAAUCCCACAAUUUCAUACGGUUCACAAAAAUAUUUUUGGCGUUAUAAACCGACGCCCAAUCAUUUUCCAAUUAAAUAAUGAAAAUAAAUAAAUUUAGGAAUAUAUCCUAAAAUCACAAUUCACAUCAAAUCAGUACAAAUAGAUCACAUCAUCACAAUCAGCAUAAAAUUCCAGUCACCAGCUAUCCUGGUCUAAUUUCCAAAAAUUAAUUAAUUAAUUAAUUAUGGAAAAUAAUUAUUAAAUGCCAAUAAUUAAAACUUAGGCCCGUAAAACCUAAUUGGAAGCCGAGACGGGCCCGAAAAAUUACCGAAUCACUCUAGUUAAAUACUAGAGUUUGUUUAGGCUCUAAUUGCACUAACUAUCCACCUAACAUGUAUCAGUAAUUAAUUAAAUUCACUAAUCUAAUCUAGCUAACCACAUAAUCCAUGUUUAACAUAAACUAAUCAACUCUUAAACGCCAUUAACCUACUAAGCGAGGAUUAGUGAGUUAAACUCACUUGUUUAACGAACCGCUCGGUUCAAAUCAACGGGAACGCAACAUAGCUUGAUCUUCUCCGAAGUGGCAAUGGCCUUCCAGAACGGAUCGGGCCUGAAAAUUGGCCCACCAAGCCUCACGGGGCUGCUGGAUUUGAUGUUGCACAGCUGAACUUUGUUGGUCGGGUUGUUGGUGGCACGACCAAGGACGGUCGAUGGGAACUGGUUGCUGCAAUCAGCCAACAAAAAUUCAGUGGAGGGGAUGCUGGCAUGGAGGAUCCGCGGGCAGAAAAGGGCAGGUUGGUGGCGUCGUCGAAGCUGUAGGGUUCUUCCACAGAAUCGAAACAAACAAAAAGGGAAAUUGCAAGGUAACGAGUGAGAGAAAAAAAAAUGAAAAAAGGGAUGGGGGCGCGUCGGUCAAGCAGGGAAAGGGAUGAGAGGAUAAGAUAGAAUCAAGAAAAGUCAAAUAAGAGGGAGGAGAAGUGAGACACGGUAGAGAGAAGGAGGGAACGUCAGUGGGGGGAGGGAUUCACAUGAACGAGAGAGAGAGAGAGAGAGAGAGAGAGAGAGGUAAGGGAAUCUGCGGCCAAGUGGGGGAAAGAAAAGGAAAUCCUAAAACUCAAAAAUCCUGGUCCCACUUGCUCUUUUUUUUUUUUUUUUGUGACCAAGGAACUCCAUAAGCCAACAGCUAGCGAGCAAACCCUAGGGGAGCGACUGCAGACCCACUACCACAAUACUAUAGGUAAAAAUCCCUAACGACGAAUCUGGAAUUCGAACUCCUCCCCUUUGUGAGGGGGAGAGAGCCCCAAGCCAGCUGCGCUGCUGCGGGCUGUGGUCCCAUUUGCUCUUGUUUAGUCCAAUUUGGUCCCCAAAAAUCCCCAUGCUAAAGUACUUGAUUCUCACUUGCUUUCUUGCACCAACUUUCCCCCAAACAACAAGUCUCGGGCAACAAAAAUGUCCAUUUCCUUCAAUUCCUAAUUCUAAUUCAUUUUUUUUUUCGGAAUCCGAUUUUAUGACCAAACUUCUUCGAUUGAGAUCAAAUUUGGAUGAAGAAAAAGCCCACACAACUUUCUUUCGCCAAGUAACUCAUGUCGAAGGCCAAAAAUCUCUUCCAUUUGGCCGAUCUGAAUUUCUGUUCGUUUUUCGAAUCAUCCGAAUCGAUUUUCCAUAAAAAUCCCGAACUCGCCGAAAAAUCCUCGAAAUAUAAGUCAAUAUUCCUAAAAUGACAUGUGACAUGAUAGAACUUUCAAUUUCUAAAAUCGGGUGCAAUUUUAGCGUGACCUAACCUACCGAGUAGCUUUCAGAAAUUUUUAGUGCAAAUGACUCAUGGUCGAUUUUCUUCGAGCCACAACGAAUCUCUUCAACACAUUGGCGACUCUCGGUGGUCAUGAAAAUCUUGAGGUGCCAAAUACGAACACAGGGUACCAAAACAAUAGAAAAAUCAAUCUAGUGUCAAUCGACGAGAAUUUUGCAAUUUAGUGAGAUCACCCACGUUUAACCACAGAUCUCAAUCGAACUAACCUAUCUUUGAUUUCUAAUCAAUCUUACUAUGCCAAAAUGAUCUCUAUAGAUGAGCACAGUUGAGUAGCCGAUUUCUGGUCGAAUCCUCAAGUCUAUUGCAUUAAAAUCUCUUAAUGACUUUACCUAAUAAUCUAGUUAUCUCAUGAGUAGCCAUCUAAAACAAAAAGCACUAUAGUCACAUCGAUGAAAAACCCAACUUAUCCAAUCGAAAUUAGAACCUGAAAUUCAAGAUGUCACAAUAAUCGUGGACUUCCAUAGCAAAGUUAGCCCUUUCAUUGGACCAUUACUAUUUUUGUCUCUUAUUUAUAGUGGGCCUACAUCCUCCCCGGGGCUAAAUCUACCAUAUUUUCAUUAAAGAGACAAAUUUGCCAUUAUAUCAUCCGAUAAAAAAUUAAAGUGGUGAAUCCCAAUUUUAUUCAUUUUCCUCCUUUUCUUUAAUUUUUUAUUUAUAUGUUGGAUCUAGUUGCCAUAGUUAUAAGUAUCACAUAUUUUUUUCUCUCUUUUUUUAAAGUAAUUAAACGGGUAUUACCAUGAAAGAAAGUUUCGAAAGACCUAAUUUUUUGGUACUUUAUAGAUUCAAAAUUCAUAACUGUUUGUAAAUUACUAGUAUUAGUGAAAUAUGAAAACCCACGUUAUAACCCUUGUAUAGUUUCCCAUAAUCAUUCACAGAACGCUUAUUCUUGCCUAUUUACCUUCAUCAUUAAGUUUCCUGCAUAUUUACUCUUUCAGCACUUUAAACUUCCUGCCCCUCUACAUUUCUCUUCUCGCAACGUUUAAUUUUAAGUGCCUACAUUCCGGUUCCAUUACAUUUACAAUCAUUUACUUGUCGGUCCAAAAUAGAAUAAAAUAAAUCUCAAAGUUAAGAAUAUUAACACGGAAGAUAAGAAUUGAGGAAUUUUUAAAUAUUUUAAUGUGUAAUAAUAAAGAAUACGUAUGUCUAUUUGUAGGUUUUACAAGAUGACUAUCUACCAUAAUAAGAUAGACAAUCAAAGAUAUGCACUAUCAAGAAGACAUAUGCAUAAUCCUAAGAAAUAUGCAUAAUCAAGUAAAUAUACUAAUAUUGCUAACAUCCCUCAAACAUAGGUGUAUUGAAACAAAUCAACUUGAGUUUGAAAAAUAAUUCAAACAGUGUGCCAAAAUUUCAAUUUAUGCAUCAUUUAGCAUCGACUUUACUGUCGAAACAAUAACCAAAUAAACGCAGCCCAUAUGACUAGCGUGGCUAUAGUAAGCUAUAUACGCAGGACUUUAUUAAGUGAAAGUUACUAUGCAGUGUUAAAUAAUACCUCCAUGAAAAAGAAAAAUUCCAUAACAGAACCACCAUGCCGCUUUCUCAAACCAGAAUGACACACUCAAAUGAACACUGUUGAGCGACAAUGAUGGAUUUAUUUUGCUACGGGUCAUGGGAUGCAAUAGGUGCGAAGUGCACUUUGGGUGAACACCAUUGGGCGGCGGGAUGGAUUUAUUUGGUUACACGUCAUGGGAUGCACCAGGCGAGUUUGAAGUGCACCCAGUGCAUUAGAGUUGACUCGAUAAAGGAGGCUCUGAUAUCAAGUUAAGAAUAAUGUAGAAGAUAAGAAUUAAAGAAUCUUUGUAAAUUUUAAUGUGUAAUAAUAGAGAGUAUGUGAGCCUAUUUACAAGCUUUACAAGAUGACCACUUAUGGUAAUGAGAUAAACAUAACAACAAAUAUAAUCAAUCAAGAAUAUGCACUAUCAAAUAAGAUAUAUGUGUAAGUUUGAGAGGUAUGUGGAAUCAACCUAAUAUACCAAUAUCACGAAUGCUCAAUUUUCUUAAAUUUCAUGAAUUCCAACCUUUUUGAAGAUUUCGCUCUUUGGAAAAGAUAAUAUCGAAUAAUUGGGGUGUGUAUAACCAUGAUUUAGUUACGUGAUUCUUGCACCGUUUAGAAUGACUUUCGUUUUGGCCGCAUUGCGAGUGCUAGGAAACCACGUAUUAUUCCGAUAUUCCUUAAGUACACUUCAAAAGAUCAAGAUAAGAGUAGAACCUUAGAAAUUUCUUGGACUUGGAGCUUUGUUUAUUACAUUAGUCUCCUAGAAAAAGAAAUCUGGGAGAAUUCCACAAAUAUAUAUAUAUAUGAGGAAUAUAUUUAGGAACAUGUAUAGUUAUCGAGUAUUAAUUGAGCAUAAAUGACAAGUGAAAGUGCUCGUAUGAGCACAUAGAGGGGGGUGAAUAGGUGUGAAAACAAAUUUUGUAAAAUAUAGUGUAAAACUUUACUUCUAACCUGAGUCUGAUUAACAGUAGAUUUUGCAGAGGAAAUCAGACUCUAACAAUUAAAUAGAGUUACGAACAAAAUAAAAGAGUUCAUGGAAGAGAAUAAGAACACAAGGUUUAUAGUGGUUCGGCUUAAUCCAAGCCUACAUCCACUCUCCCGCACUGACAGCCCACCGGCUGGAUUUCACUAUGAAUCAAAAGAGUCGUUACAGUAUCAUGUCAUUGAUUUAACAGUGUAGAAACUCUGCUACACUUCCUCAAGGCCUCACAAGUAUCUAAAUUCUUUUUUAAGUACAAAUUUACGCUCAACAAUUGAAUCAGCAAAGAACAAGAAGCUUCAGACUUUGGAAUUUAUCUAUCGUGCACACCCUCAAAUAACUAGAGUGUCUUCCUUAUACUCCUACAUGCCUUCAUAUCCGUUGGCACCUUCCAAAAGAGUUCUUCCAAUCUACCCGUUGGACAGAAUCAAUUAGGGAGAUCUCGAGCUACUUAAGAAAUGUGACGGUAGCCCACCAAUCCUACUCAUCCAUACAAUCAGGAUCUAGGUUUUCAUAAGUAGAACCUUCCAAGUAUACUUCGUCAAUCAAUGGAUCCAAAUUACUUGAAUUAAUUUCAAAACGAAUAAUAGAUCUUGAGAUGCUAUCUUCAGCCGUGAGAACUUCUUUAGCCGCUUGAAUCAAAUCCUUAAAGAAAUACUCGAUUCUGGAUAAGUCUUCUUCGUCAAUCUAGAAACUAUCAAUAAUGGUAGACUUUAAAUCUUGAGUCUGGCAGUCUGGUGGUCUUCAGACUUUGACAAAAGAGUAUAUAAGUUUUCAGACUAGACUGAUGAAAACGUUUUGUCAGCUUCAAAACAAAUAAGGAAGUUUUCUCCAACAACAAGGAAUUGCUAAGACACUUAUCACCCUUAAUUAAUCACGAAAGAAGUCGGCGCUUUUGCAAGGCUAACAUUUGUUGCUUAACUGGUUCUCUAGCAUAGUCCAUAGUAAGAUCUUCUAACAUAUCUCUCAUUAUACUUGAUAUAUGGAUUAGGCUUACUCAAUUCAAGAAUUCAUGUGAAUUGGACUCGCACGAAUGGAGGUUAUUCAAUAAAAAUUGUUCAACAUGUAAUCGAUUUUGCACAGUCUAAAUUCUAUUUGGAUGAAUGACGAACACUACUGAUAUUAUGAAAUAAUGCACAUUUCACUUUUGUCCGUGCAUUAUACCAUAGAAAUUCAACCUACACAUUUGAUCACAAUAAUUAUUAAUCCGUUUACAAUUGCUUCUUUUAAUACUGUAUAAAAAAAUUGUCCGUCUCGUCUACUUGAUAUCGAAUUAAACCCAACUCGAGUCAUCACAAUUCUGCAGGGACGAACUUUCAGCUAGACACGCUGCGAGCGAUCUUGGGGGAGAUGACCAGAUUGGUCUAGGAGGAAUUUGCAACACCUCAACACUUCCUUCUAGCAUUUUCACAACUUGGCUCAUAGAUGGUCGAGCUCUUGGAUCAAUCUGAAUGCACCAUAAACCUAUUACAAUCAUCUUCUUCGUGAUUCCUUUGUCCUCCUCAUUCAUGACCCCACACAGUCCAAGAUCUUCUUGGAGCUCUAGGCGUUGGUGGAUCCAAUGAGGGAAGUAUAUUUCACUGGAACGAUCUACCAUGACUUCAAUAUUUCUCCUCUUGCCUACCGUCUCCAAAACCAUCAUGCCAUAGCUAUAGACAUCUGAUUUGUGAGAAACCCCUCCAAUGUUCCUUAAUAUCAACUCCGGAGCAAUGUAUCCGAUGGUGCCCCGGGCACCUAGCAUUGAAACGAUGCUCUCUUCUCUUGGGCAAAUUUUGGCAAGACCAAAGUCGGAAAUCUUAGGGCAAUAGUUUCCGUCGAGGAGAAUGUUGUGAGGCUUUAUGUCAAAGUGCAAGAUCCUCGUGUUACAACCUUUAUGCAAGUACUCUAGCCCGUGAGCAAUGCCAAGCGAAAUCCGGUACAAUGUAUCCCAACUCAAUUGUUGAUCUACCUCCAAACCAUUAUUUAUGUUGAAUAUGAAUUUUUCGAGUGAUCCAUUGGGCAUGAACUCAUAAACCAAAGCUCUUUUGCUUCCUUUAAAACAAAACCCUAGGAGGCUGACCACAUUGACAUGAGAAGUCCUGCUUAUGCUUGCAACUUCAUUGAAAAACUCUUCCGCAUCGCCUUUCAGCUUCUUUAGAAACUUCACCGCCACAAGUUGACCAUCUGAAAGCUUGCCUUUGUACACGCAGCCAUAGCCUCCCUCACCUAACUUUUCUUCAAAAGAGUUGGUCAUCUUCUUGAUGUCUUUGUAGGUGUAUCUUCUCGAAGAGACGAGUCCCUCAAUUUUCACUUCAUCAUCAAAAUGUUCACUCCACUGCUUUAUGAAGUCUGCAAUUUUUCUUAUCAUUGGUUUCUUCAUGCAGGAGAGCAUUAAAAUAAGGGCGAUCCCAAUUCCAGCUCCAGAUGCAGCUAUUCCUAAAAAAGCAGAAUAUUUUCUUACAGCGAUCUCACUUCAUCACAUUAUUGAGGCUUCUAAGAAUUAGAAAUAUUGAUUCCAUUGAGCAGCGAUGCAAGUUAUUAUCAAAAAGUCAGAACGAAUUGCAGAGAAAAAUGUAGAGAAGUGGAAGAGAAAAUCUGGAUAUAAUUACCUAUUCCGAUUUUCAGUCCAACGUUUCGUUUUCCUGAGACAAUAGUCAUCAAAAGUGAAAAAUGUGUCAACGAAUUGCAAACAGGUGAUUUCAAAGUGUCUUAAGAGAUAAAGAUGAGGGCAUAUCAUGAGGUUAUAGUUCAUUCAAUUUCAAGAAACCAAAAAUACCACCAUUGAGUGAAGAAAAUUACGAAUUCACCAGUUUGGCUCUAUCCUCCUCUUGAACAUGGAUCAAACAGUGACAUCAUACUAGAAGAAAUUGGAAAUACAUGCAAAUGGAUCUGUGGCUGAUUGACUAACAAGUGUAGACAUUAGCUAUAAUCCUGAAUUCUAGUGCUAUCAGGGGAUGCACAGGAAGGCAGCAAAGGAUACAUUUUCUUGCUGGUAUAAACGUAGCAAACACUCUGAAAUGUGAUCGACAAUGUGGUACCAGAGGCAGAGACAAAUAAAACUUUCUGCGUCACUAAUGGAAUGGGCUGUAUGUUCUAGACAUGUCUCAACUCUUUAGCUUCUAAGCAGACCUCUAGGCUUGACUAGAAGUCGUUCCAUAAUUAAAUUUAUUGGGCAGCUCAUGUUCAGGCACAAAUUUUGGAGCUUCUUGUAUCAUGAACACCACUAGCAAACUAUCGCAGAAAGAUAGAAACAUCAACAGUUCCUUUACUGCUCUUUCAUUUCCUCGAGCUUUGCAAAGUCACAAUCUAUGAGGUUCCAAUAAGAUAUCUUGGAACCCAAGAGAAGGGAAGUUUUGUUCGCAGCACUAAUCGAGUCUAAGGAGAAGCAUUUGGAAAAGCUGAAGGACAUUAUCCUCAGCACGUAGAAAUGAAACAUUAACUGAAAAACAGGAAAAACAUUUUUAGUAUUCGACAAAGAAAUCUAAUAGAUACAACUGCAAGGGGGAGGGAUAGAAAGAGUACUUAUAUGUGCUAUCAUAAUGAGAAAAAAGUCCAUUGAUAAUGUCAAGAUUUAAUUAUCUGUACGGUUCACAUCUGGCAAUUUUAUAAAGAUAUUUCAACCACACAAAUGAUCAGAUUUUAGCAACACUUUCAGAAAGGUAGUUUUUCUUCUUCCUUUUUUCAUUUGGUUGUGAUCAUAGUAAAAUCUCAAGAAGGAAAUGAGUAAUUUUAGCCCAACAUUUGCAAAAUUUCACAGUAAACGUGGAGCAUCUUCAUUCAAUGUAUUCAAACCAUCGGAGCUCAUGGUCGCAAAUAUCAACCAAAUGAUCAAAACAGAAAAUAGGAAUGAUAAGGUUUUAAGAGUCUAAAUAGUAACAUGAUCAUGUCUGUCAUAGCGAGGAUGACCACACUCCAUUGCAGCGAGGGAUAUGCCCAGCAAAAUGAGAUUGUCAAGCUUUAGGGGCAUGAGCUGGUCGUUUCCUAAUUAACAAGCAAAGGAAAGAGCAUGCGCAGCAAUUCCUCUCAUUGAACAACUUCAGCUAACUGAAAACCACAUAUUAGGCGACGAAAGUGGCCUCAUUUGAGAUUGUUUCUUGUGGGAUCCAAUUAAAUCCUUUAUCUCCGCGUUAUUCUCUUGUCGUUUUCUUUCUGCCAAACAAUGACUUAUUAAUUUUCCCCCAUAUUUUCCUCUACCCUUCGCUUUCCAUCCCAUUUCGUCACUCCCAAAUUGCUCAGCAAAGUAAAUGAGUGAUAAGGAAAAGUUAAGAUAAACCACCUUGUGUAGACGUAGCAGUUGUUGCCUCUGGGGUCUCAGCAGAUGUUGAUGAACCACAAGUUUUGGAAGCAAAGGACUGGUCAGGACAAGAGCAAGUGGUCCGAUUGGCAGUGGUAUUGUAACCACAAACUCCGUUCGAUUGAGUGCACUCAACACAUGCUUCACUAUCCACCUUCAGCUGAACCUCAAAACCAUGCUGCAGCAGGUCGCUUAAACUGGACGAGCUAUUUCCCAAGUCACUCUGAGAAUAUGAAGAAGAGCUAUCUCCCAAGUCACUCUGAGAAUAUGAAGAAACCGGGACUACCACGCUCUUGAAGCACGCUCCACUGUCAACACUCGACCCUGAAAACACAUAGCCCUCCGUGUACGGAACCCCCUUAAAAGGGCACGAGAAUUGGCCCAAGAAAGUUGGGGAAACCGAUUGGCAACCGUAGAGGAAAGUGACGUUGGUGUAGCCCUCGGCGAUUUGGAACAUCGACGGGUCGAGAGUAGUGUUAAGGAAAUUCGUGGGACAGAUUCCCUGCAUAUAGUCAUCCCUCGCGAUUCUCAGUACCUGAGUAGAAUUGGGAUACACCUCCAGAACUCGGUACUUCACUCCCUGUAUCACGAUGGUCGUGUUGCCUCCGUUCUCGCACUUGAGCUCCAACUCGGGAUACCCGCAAAAGCUCGCUCUGUUGCCACCCCAGAAGGGAUAGCCAAUGCCUCCAACGUCCCCACAGCUGAACGUGCCGUUGCAGCUCGAGUAAUAAUCCACGCCCAGGGAAGGAGGACUCUUGAUCAAGAUCAAGAACAGUGGGAACAAAAAGUGGAGAAUACGAGCAGAAGAUGGAGAAGGAAGCCAAGAAAGAGACAUGGUGAUUCACGAAGAAAUGGGAAUGCGGGUGCUAGAAAAAGGGGAAGUGGAACGCAAAUUGAAGGUCUGGAGAAAUAAAUAAUCCAAGAAAGAGAGGCCAUUUUCCGUUGACUGAAAAAUUUUCUUUUUGACUCAUUCUCAAUCUGAACAUACAAAAAAUCAAAGAAAAUUUUUUUAAUGCCGGGCGGUCUGCAUCGCAGGCCACUAGUAGGUUCUGGGGAACUUCGUGGAGACUGGUUCUAAAAUUUUUAAUUACGGAUAAGAAUAAUGCUGCUUUUGGGAAUGACUCGAUCCAAUACUAUAUUGUCUUGCGAAGAGACCGAGACGUUUGUAGGUGCAGAAAGACGCGAAGACGAAGACUUAGACUUUGACUUAGGACUUGGGCUAGUAUUCCCAUAUAACAAUUUGUAUCCGCAACCCUCAUUAAUGAACGUGUUUCUUGAGCUUAUUGCUAAGCUCAAAAGAUCGCUAGCCGAUUCCCAGGGAACAUAUAGGGCCGCCCUAUUCUUUUGCAAUUUGGCCUAUCUCGUUAGUAUCCUUUACUGUGACGAAGUAGGUGUUGGCCCGGAAGAGAGCGGGUCGGGUGAUAAUAGGAGCCGGACGAGCGAUUGAGGAUGGGGUGGUAGCAAGAUACAACGGGAUCGCCAACGGUCCAAAGUGAAAAUCGGAUGGGGAUGUCACCGCAUUGGGAUGAGGAUGAGCCGGAGUCGUGACUGGACGAGAAAGUGGAGUGGAUGCCAUGGAAGCUCCCAAAGAAGAAGAAGAAGAGGGGGGAAGGUGGUGGUUUGGCAUUUUCUUUGUUCUUAUCUUGGCGAGGAAGAAGAUCAUUGUCUGGCAAUUUAGAAUGAACCAGCUAAAUAACGAUGCGUUCUUACUUCUUAGCGUUAAUUGACUAUAUCAGUUUGGCUAGAGAAUAGAUGCAGAAACGACGAAUGAUUAUGCAAGCCAAUAAAAAUUUUACAUGUCGGUGUAUUGUGCGGGAGUAUUAAAGCCCGCCCUGCAACCCAAUCCAUUUUUCAUCCAAGGAAUAUUCCGUUUAAGGUGGGAGGAGCCAUUUGGAUUGGUGUGAUUGAUUGAAAACUUUGAAAAUGACCCUGGACUUUCACAGAGAAGUUAGCCCUUUCGUUGGACCAUAAUUCCUUUUGUCUGUUAUUUAUUCUCAUAUCCAUUUUUUUUAAAAACAAAAAAAAAAAAAAAAAGAGAGAGAGGGGGGAGGGGGGGGGGGGGGUUUCGAGUUUGAUGCACUUUUUUAUUUUUAAAAAAAAGAACAAUUAGGAUUUUAUUAAAAUUUCCACAAAAACAUGCGGGGGUCUUAAAUUUAGUGUAGUUUUCAUGAUUAAAUUUUUAAGAAUUAUAGUAUCAAAUAAAUAAAGUGGCAGUGUAGAAAUUUCCCACUUUUCUCUUUCACACUUUGAGUCUUCAAUAGUCGUAUAACUCGUCGGAGUUUUGAUUCGAUGGCUUGUAUGUUAUCUGUGGCUAUAAGAUUAAGAAAUUAAUGGUCUUAAAAUAUUUUGGAUGCAAACUUCAUAUGUAGUCAAGUAAUAAGGUGACUAUAGUAUUUUCCUUUUCUAAACUUCACGAGGUUAAUCUUUUGCGGCACAACAAUACUAAAUAAUUAUCAAAAAAAAAAAAUGUCUGGUCGUCAUGCCAAAAGCACACACGCAGGAAAAAUGACACCUAAGUUCAUAAAAUUUGACUCAAUAUGCAUCGUCAUCCUUGAAUUUUUUGUUUGUUUAAUGUGAUCUUUGGACUAUUUUCCUUUUGUUUAAUCGAACAAGGAAGAAAGUUAUCACAAGCCCCCAAACUAGUGUGAAAUGUCCAAUGUAAUCACUAAAGUAUAACAAAAUAUGCAAACUAGUCUCUAAACUAUUGCGAAAUGUGCAAUAUAUUCAUAAACUUCCAUUAUGUUCAGUCUAGUCCCUCAACUUUCCAUAACAAAGUCAAAUUGAUCUUUCAAUACCAUCUACUAGUUUGCAUAAUUACAUAAUUGCCCAAAUUUUAUAAUAUCUUUUCAUUUCAAUCUAUUUCCCAAAUCAAAUAUAUAUUAGAUUAUUAUCCUUUCAGUACUUAAAAACAUUACGAUAGUUCUAUAUAAGUAUAUUUUUAGCUUGCCAUCUCUACAAUAGUAAAAGUAAAAUUUCAUUAAAAGUUGUAUCAAAUUGAUAUUCCUACUAUUUUAAGUAUAAUUAUUUUCAUAAAGAUGAUAUCUAGAAACGAUAACAAUUUAUCAAUAGAUACACAUACUAAUAUUAAUCUAAAACUUACUCAUAAUUUUUUUAAUAGAUACAAAUUUUAAGCUUUUAUGUUACAUGUUUUCUUAAUAAAGUUUAGUUAAAUCCGUGUGUUAUUUUUUUUUUUGGUAAAAUAUCAUUUUUUUCGAACAUUUACUAUAAAGCAUGAAAACACACCGUCGCAUCAAUCAUUUUAUUGCUUGUUCGCACUGUGCUAUAAAUUUCUUGAGGAUCAUUGCAUAUGCAAAAGGGACAAAACAUGGGCCUCAAGAAGCAAGAACGGUGGGUGAAUGAUUGGGCCUUGUAGACUCCGACCCACAAAGGAGGCAUUCAAUGGCCAAGAGUGUCCAGUAUGAGCAAAUAAAGGUGUUUGACACUUCGAUUUAAACGACAGAAAAAAAAAUCAUUGUUCUGAUAAUCGGACCGGACUAGCGGUUUAAUCAAGCGUUAGUUUGAUUUUCGGCCCGUUCAAUUUUUUUUUUUUUUUGUCAACUUAAGCCAAUUCAACCAAUUUUUGUGGGACAAUCCACUAUUAACUAGUAUAAAAGGAUCAUUCAAAAGAUAUUAAAACCGAGUAGUCCCAAGAUUAGGUACAAUAAUCACUAAGCUAACCGCAAGAUUGACCCUUGGACCAUCGGAUUAGCAUGAAUAAUCCACCAAACCAAUUCUCAUUUUUAAAAAGUUAAUCCUUGGAAUGCUUGUACUUCUCACCAGGUCGAACAACAACAGAAGGAAAGUUUGGUUGGUUGAACGCAUUUGGAAAUCCUUGCGUCUCCAAACACACUCCAGAGUGCUUGCCAUAUGCCGUAUCACCUUUACCGACUACUCCAUUUACGUAAUUUCCAGUGUAAAACUGCACUCCCGGAGCAUUGGUCCACAAGUCAAGAACCCUAGAACUUGAAGGGUCCUUCAGUUUGGCAGCGUGUUUUAGGCCCGACUUCUCUUCCCCACAGUCCAGCACAUAGUUAUGGUCGUAACCUAAACCAGGCACCUCAUGAAUUGAAGUGCCAAUCUUCUUCUCCGUCGUGAAAUCAAAAGCCGUUCCUUUGACGGGCAUAAUUUCACCUGUUGGGAUUGUGUUCUGAUCCACGGGAGUGAUGUGAUUAGCCCAUAUCUGGAUGGAGUGGUUUAGUAUGGGUGCGUUUGGUUGUAUUUCUGUUUAAAAAUUGUUCCAGGGAACAGAAAUAAAAAAAAAGUGUUUCUGUUCCUGGGAACAAUUUCUGAACAAAAAAACGCGUUUGGUAAACUUGUUCCGGGAACAAAAAAUAAAUAGAAACACGUUUGGUAAAUUUGUAUAAUUUUUUAUUUCUUUUAUUUUUUUAAUAUUUUUAUUUUAUUUUUCUAUUUUCUUUUUUAUUUUUCCUUUUUUUUUCUUUUUUCUUUUUUGGCCGGUCGCCAGCCUCGGCCAUGGCCGGCGACCGGCCGGCGACGACCGGCGGCCUCGCCCAGCCACGGCGAGGCUCGCCGGCCCCCGGCGAGGCCGAGCCUGGCCGUGGCUGGGCGAGGCUCGGCCUCGCCUUGGCUGGGCGAGCUGCCGCCAUGGAAACUCUCGUGGUUUCUUCCCUGCCCUCCGUCCGCAUCCGGGAACCGCAUCCCGGGAGCCUUUUCUUCCGACCCAGAUCAGUGAACCUUCUUCCCCUGCCGAGGCGGACUGCAGGCGCCAGGCUCCGCGCGGCGGUUUCGUCGCCGGCGUCGUCCGGCGUCUCGGCGGAGCCCGCGGCCCCGGUCGAGACCGAUGCCCCGGGCGACGCCGCGGGGGAGAAGUUCGACUGGUACUCGCAGUGGUACCCGGUGAUGCCGGUCUGCGACCUGGACAAGAGGAGGCCGCACGCGAAGAAGGUGAUGGGCUACGCCGACCUGGCGGUGGCCGGGCAAGACCGAGCCUCGCCGGGGGCCGUCGAGCCUCGCCUUGGCUGGGCGAGGUCGCCGGCCCUCGUCGGCCGGUCGCCGGCGACUGGCCAAAGAAAAAAAAGAAGAAAAGAAAAAAGAGAAGUAUUUCUAGAUUUUGUUUCAGAAACAAGAAACACAUUUUUUGUGUUUCUUGGUUCUGUUUCUUUUUUGUUCCUGUGAACAAAAAAACAGAAAUUUCUGUUCCUGGGAACAGAAACAGGGUGCAGCCAAACGCACCCUAUGUUUCCCGAAUGUCACCGACUAAGUUCCAGUAGGCAUGCUGAGCCAAGCUGAUAGGAGUGGCCUUAUUUUCAGGCACAGCUUCCAUGUCGAGCCUCAUUGUUGUACUAGAAGUUAGUGUGUAAGUAGCCGUC